This 73-nucleotide transfer RNA is filed under the name Muribaculaceae bacterium. RNAcentral's name for it is "tRNA-Glu". It matches the Rfam family "tRNA". From Rfam's summary of the family: Transfer RNA (tRNA) molecules are approximately 80 nucleotides in length. RNAcentral also lists the same sequence under 1 other name. Lineage: Bacteria; Pseudomonadati; Bacteroidota; Bacteroidia; Bacteroidales; Muribaculaceae. The record is from RNAcentral.
GGUGGUAUCGUCUAGUGGCCCAGGACGCUGGCCUCUCACGCCGGAAACCGGGGUUCGACUCCCCGUACCACUA